GGCAAGCUCGCCACAGGGUUUGCAAGGCCUUCCUUCCUCGACCUGGGCCCUGGCUCCCCUCCCUGUCUCUUCUCCCAGAACUCCGCACCUUCCCACAGCUGAUCCGAGAAGGUGGUAGUUUCUUCUCACACCGGUGGGUGCGCCUGUUGCCUGCCCUUCCCCUUGACUGGAUGGUCCCUAGAAGCCUAGUUUAACCUUAGGUCACUACUUUUCCUUGAAGACUUCGCUGAGAGGCCGCCUCCUUUGGAGAGCAUUCCUGGGCCUUUUCAGACUCUGAAACAGUCCUCUGAGUCUCGCGACACGUGGUCAUGCCUGUGCUGCCACUGAAUGCGGUCCUCUAUUUGAGUCUGUAUCUGUCUCCCCAGAGGUCAAAUACUGUGUCCUGUGAGUCAUUUCGUCCCUAGGGGCCUAACAUGCUAUCUGAAACCUAGCUAACAUUCAGUGAAUAAUUUUCUCAUAAAUGAAGUAGAUUGGCAAAAAACUCCACUUUGAUGAAGAUCUAAAGAAAUAUUUUCAUCUUUUAUUUAUAAAUGUCUACAAGUCUCAGCCCUCCACAGCCUGCGUCUCCCUCAGGCCUCGGUCUCCCUCCAAGCAUUUUAUCGCACCAGACUACAGUUGUGGCCAAACCUAACAUUUAGAGAGAAAGAGACAAAUGUGAUCGAAGUUGGUUUUGAGUGAACAGCAUUAUUGUGGAAAAACCCAUGGAGUGUCCCCUACCAGCGGCCGCUCCUGCAGCUCUCGGGGGAGCACAGCCUGCUCCUCUGGCUUCGGACUCGGAUCUCCUGUCCCUGGUGAUGAAGCUUUAAGGACUCUUCUCAGAAGCAUUCUUAUUUAUUUCACAGAUAUUGCAUUAUCCCGAACUGUCUAUUCGGCGCAUUUAAGCGGGGAGAAGAAAGAAUCUAGAUUUCCCCAAAACAGCAGUCAGACUAUCUUCCGAGCAGAGCGGCGAACAGUCUGAAGUUCUAAUGAGAGCCCUCCGGGAUGUCCUAGAAGAGCAGCAUGGUAUGGGGAUGUGGCCCUGGGGGCUCUGUGUUCCCUCCCCACAUGAUGCAGAUUGGAGCCACUAAGCCUGACUGUGUCAAGAGCAAUGUCCUGAAUGUCACAGCUCUGGGGUA
Molecule: long non-coding RNA, 1115 nt
Filed under: Microcebus murinus (gray mouse lemur)
Lineage: Eukaryota; Metazoa; Chordata; Mammalia; Primates; Cheirogaleidae
Description: lncRNA (ENSMICG00000048717.1)
Source: RNAcentral